This 510-nucleotide ribosomal RNA is filed under the name uncultured Vibrio sp. RNAcentral's name for it is "bacterial SSU rRNA". It matches the Rfam family "Bacterial small subunit ribosomal RNA", at positions 374 to 876 of the family's 1533-position model. The record is from RNAcentral. Lineage: Bacteria; Pseudomonadati; Pseudomonadota; Gammaproteobacteria; Vibrionales; Vibrionaceae.
GGCGCAAGCCUGAUGCAGCCAUGCCGCGUGUAUGAAGAAGGCCUUCGGGUUGUAAAGUACUUUCAGCAGUGAGGAAGGUGGUGUCGUUAAUAGCGGCAUCAUUUGACGUUAGCUGCAGAAGAAGCACCGGCUAACUCCGUGCCAGCAGCCGCGGUAAUACGGAGGGUGCGAGCGUUAAUCGGAAUUACUGGGCGUAAAGCGCAUGCAGGUGGUUUGUUAAGUCAGAUGUGAAAGCCCGGGGCUCAACCUCGGAAUUGCAUUUGAAACUGGCAGACUAGAGUACUGUAGAGGGGGGUAGAAUUUCAGGUGUAGCGGUGAAAUGCGUAGAGAUCUGAAGGAAUACCGGUGGCGAAGGCGGCCCCCUGGACAGAUACUGACACUCAGAUGCGAAAGCGUGGGGAGCAAACAGGAUUAGAUACCCUGGUAGUCCACGCCGUAAACGAUGUCUACUUGGAGGUUGUGGCCUUGAGCCGUGGCUUUCGGAGCUAACGCGUUAAGUAGACCGCCUGG